GUGCUCGCUUCAGCAGCACAUAUACUAAAAUGGGAAUGAUACAGAGAAGAUUAGCAUGGUCCCUGCACAAGGAUGACAUGCAAAUUCGUGAAGCGUUCCAUAUAUUU
Molecule: small nuclear RNA, 107 nt
Filed under: Delphinapterus leucas (beluga whale)
Lineage: Eukaryota; Metazoa; Chordata; Mammalia; Artiodactyla; Monodontidae
Source: RNAcentral